CUCAAAACUCUCACAAGCAUCACCCCAACCCAAUUGCAAUGUUGAACUUGAGUCCAUCCAGGUAGUGAUAGACCAGCCCAGGUGUUAUUGGACGGCGAGUGAGGGAGCAAAGGUCUGUCUGCCUUUUGCCCUGAUGGUAUGAACCGUCAUGUCAGGGUGCAACAGCAUCUCAUUUUUCACGAGCAACUCCUUGGGAUCCCUGUAGUUCAAAAUUGGGUUUGACCUGGUAAAUGUUCGAGCCCUCUCAACGGGGGUUCCGCGCCCAAAACACUCGAGGACCCCGGGAAUGGUGGCCGGACGACGCGAACGAGUGUAAUUUCAACCGUUGUCGGCUAAUUGGAAUAUUGGAAAGAAUUUUAAUUUGUACUGACGUUGGUUUAUCACAAUUUAUGCCGACAGAGCCCGACAGAGCCUGACAGAAGACCUUGGUCAUCUAGCUCUGUCUCAGCACUUGUGCUAGGAUCGCGGAGUGCCAGAGUUAUGACCAAAACCCUUCAGAAAUAUGUUCAUAUCGAGUCGGAGAAUCAUUUCUCUGGGACGUUUUUUACCCAGCUCACUGGUAUGUGGUUAGCUACAAAUCUUCUGAAUACAAUGGUUCCCUUGGAUCAGGAGUUAAAAAGAGGGACAGGAAUGGAUCUCUUACUGUCAUCCAACAAAUUGGUUGACCCGAACACUCUGAAAAUCUUUGUCCAGGGCACGCGACCGAGCUCCGACAGACUUGAUUCGAUCAUGUUUUACGAAGGUAAUGAGCCAUUGCUCUCUCUACCGGAGGGAUCCCCAACUCAGCUCGAUAUCAAAUCAAAUCAGCCCUAUUGAAUACACAUUCCCUCUCUACGCUCUAAGCUUUUCUACAGUGGACUCGAAUUCCAUGCCCAGCCAGAGUCUCACUCCAGAGCCUCACUCCAAACUUGGCGUUUUCAAGCCGAACAACAUCUCAUUGUGACAGUGGCCCCCCAACUGAUUGUGUCAGACAGCUUUCAAGUAAAUUGUUACUUAUUGUUUCUCGAGUCAAGACCCGAAAACACCACGUUUCGGUCCCGAGACCGGAAUCAACGUGAUAGAUAUUCUCCGGACAAGGUUGCCAAGGCCACUCCCCCCAAUGUGUUGGAAGUGAGUGCCGACAUUCCACGGACAAGAUCGUCUCUUUUUCCCUGGCAAUGAACAUCAUGUAUCGCAUGGAGUAACUGACUUCAUGACGGACGAUUUUUAGGGGGAUAAUCCCGAAGUCACGCUGCGACAAGAUCACCCGCCAAUGACCGACAAACUAACUUGUUAAUAAAGACUAAAAGCUUAA
Molecule: long non-coding RNA, 1294 nt
Organism: Tigriopus californicus
Lineage: Eukaryota; Metazoa; Arthropoda; Copepoda; Harpacticoida; Harpacticidae
Exons: 2
Source: RefSeq, a predicted model, not a curated record